AACAACGGAUGGGCUGGGAUCGUGAUAAAUGGCUUCUGCAAGGCUGGACUAAUGCAAGGAGCUGAAGUUUUACUAAAUGAGAUGCAAGGAAAGGGAAUUAGUGUAGACCGGGUCAUAUUUAAUACGAUGAUGGAUGGUUACUGUAAGCAGGGUAAUGUGGAUGAAGCACUGAGGCUACAGACAAUUAUGGAGGGUGAAGGAC
RNAcentral lists this unclassified non-coding RNA (202 nucleotides) under Hevea brasiliensis (rubber tree). The record is from RNAcentral. Lineage: Eukaryota; Viridiplantae; Streptophyta; Magnoliopsida; Malpighiales; Euphorbiaceae.